UUAAGUUCAGCGGGUAGUCCUACCUGAUUUGAGAUCAAACAUUCAAAGAGCUGUCCUCGCUGAGGAGAGACGUCUGUGAGCUCCAGUGAACCUCCACUGCUGAAGGUUACCUGGUGGAAAACCACAAGCGUAGAUAGUUAUCACACCUGUGAUGCCCACCAAACACUGGCAAGCUGAUUCAUUUUGGAGGAGCUGACUGU
Molecule: unclassified non-coding RNA, 200 nt
Filed under: Tomentella sp.
Lineage: Eukaryota; Fungi; Basidiomycota; Agaricomycetes; Thelephorales; Thelephoraceae
Description: partial internal transcribed spacer 2
Source: RNAcentral